UGUAUUCACUACUGUAAGUCGCUCUGCAUAAGAGCUUCUGCUAAAUGACUAAAA
This is a non-coding RNA of Salmo salar (Atlantic salmon), 54 nucleotides long. The record is from Rfam. Lineage: Eukaryota; Metazoa; Chordata; Actinopteri; Salmoniformes; Salmonidae.